UCCUACGGGAGGCAGCAGUGGGGAAUAUUGCACAAUGGGGGAAACCCUGAUGCAGCCAUGCCGCGUGUGUGAAGAAGGCCUUCGGGUUGUAAAGCACUUUCAGUCGUGAGGAAAGGGUGUAAGUUAAUACCUUGCAUCUGUGACGUUGGCGACAGAAGAAGCACCGGCUAACUCCGUGCCAGCAGCCGCGGUAAGACGGAGGAUGCAAGUGUUAUCCGGAAUCACUGGGCGUAAAGCGUCUGUAGGUGGUUUAAUAAGUCAACUGUUAAAUCUUGAGGCUCAACCUCAAAAUCGCAGUCGAAACUAUUCAACUAGAGUAUAGUAGGGGUAAAGGGAAUUUCCAGUGGAGCGGUGAAAUGCGUAGAUAUUGGAAAGAACACCGAUGGCGAAGGCACUUUACUGGGCUAUUACUAACACUCAGAGACGAAAGCUAGGGUAGCAAAUGGGAUUAGAUACCCCAGUAGUCCUAGCUGUAAACAAUGGAUACUAGAUGUUGAACAGAUCGACCUGUGCAGUAUCAAAGCUAACGCGUUAAGUAUCCCGCCUGGGAAGUAUGCUCGCAAGAGUGAAACUCAAAGGAAUUGACGGA
Molecule: ribosomal RNA, 589 nt
Filed under: uncultured bacterium
Lineage: Bacteria
Description: bacterial SSU rRNA
Rfam family: Bacterial small subunit ribosomal RNA
Source: RNAcentral